RNAcentral lists this ribosomal RNA (184 nucleotides) under Klebsiella quasipneumoniae. RNAcentral's name for it is "16S rRNA. Bacterial SSU". It matches the Rfam family "Bacterial small subunit ribosomal RNA", at positions 1 to 178 of the family's 1533-position model. Lineage: Bacteria; Pseudomonadati; Pseudomonadota; Gammaproteobacteria; Enterobacterales; Enterobacteriaceae. The record is from RNAcentral.
UUAAAUUGAAGAGUUUGAUCAUGGCUCAGAUUGAACGCUGGCGGCAGGCCUAACACAUGCAAGUCGAGCGGUAGCACAGAGAGCUUGCUCUCGGGUGACGAGCGGCGGACGGGUGAGUAAUGUCUGGGAAACUGCCUGAUGGAGGGGGAUAACUACUGGAAACGGUAGCUAAUACCGCAUAACG